CCAUCAAUGAUGCUAACCUCCUGGAAGCAUGUAUCUACCGCCUGCUGAAGCUCUAUUGCCGGGAGCAGCCCUAUUACCUGAACCUGAUUGAGCUCUUCCUGCAGAGUUCCUAUCAGACUGAGAUUGGGCAGACUCUGGACCUCAUCACAGCCCCCCAGGGCAAUGUGGAUCUUGUCAGAUUCACUGAAAAGAGGUACAAAUCUAUUGUCAAGUACAAGACAGCUUUCUACUCCUUCUACCUUCCUAUAGCUGCAGCCAUGUACAUGGCAGGAAUUGAUGGCGAGAAGGAGCAUGCCAAUGCCAAGAAGAUCCUGCUGGAGAUGGGGGAGUUCUUUCAGAUUCAGGACAACAAAUGCAGCUGGCUGGUGGUUCAGUGUCUGCAACGGGCCACUCCAGAACAGUACCAGAUCCUGAAGGAAAAUUACGGGCAGAAGGAGGCUGAGAAAGUGGCCCGGGUGAAGGCGCUAUAUGAGGAGCUGGAUCUGCCGGCUGUGUUCUUGCAAUAUGAGGAAGACAGUUACAGCCACAUUAUGGCUCUCAUUGAACAGUACGCAGCACCCCUGCCCCCAGCCAUCUUUCUGGGGCUUGCGCGCAAAAUCUACAAGCGGAGAAAGUGACCUAGAGACUGCAAGGGCGGGGAGAGGAGGCUCUCAAUAAAUAAUCGUGUAACCUU
RNAcentral lists this small RNA (673 nucleotides) under Pongo abelii (Sumatran orangutan). RNAcentral's name for it is "processed transcript". Lineage: Eukaryota; Metazoa; Chordata; Mammalia; Primates; Hominidae. The record is from RNAcentral.